GAUGAACGCUAGCGGCAGGCUUAACACAUGCAAGUCGAGGGGUAUUGGUUUUCGGACCAAGAGACCGGCGCACGGGUGCGUAACGCGUAUGCAAUCUACCUUUUGCAGAGGGAUAGCCCAGAGAAAUUUGGAUUAAUACCUCAUAGUAUAGUACUUUGGCAUCAAGGAACUAUUAAAGUCACAACGGCAAAAGAUGAGCAUGCGUCCCAUUAGCUAGUUGGUAAGGUAACGGCUUACCAAGGCUACGAUGGUAGGGGUCCUGAGAGGGAGAUCCCCCACACUGGUACUGAGACACGGACCAGACUCCUACGGGAGGCAGCAGUGAGGAAUAUUGGACAAAUGGGCGCAAGCCUGAUCCAGCCAUGCCGCGUGCAGGAAGAAGGUCCUAUGGAUUGUAAACUGCUUUUAUACAGGAAGAAACACUCCCUCGUGAGGGAACUUGAC
RNAcentral lists this ribosomal RNA (444 nucleotides) under uncultured bacterium. RNAcentral's name for it is "bacterial SSU rRNA". It matches the Rfam family "Bacterial small subunit ribosomal RNA", at positions 28 to 473 of the family's 1533-position model. The record is from RNAcentral.